RNAcentral lists this ribosomal RNA (497 nucleotides) under uncultured bacterium. RNAcentral's name for it is "partial 16S ribosomal RNA". It matches the Rfam family "Bacterial small subunit ribosomal RNA", at positions 28 to 507 of the family's 1533-position model. The record is from RNAcentral.
GAUGAACGCUGGCGGCGUGCCUAAUACAUGCAAGUCGAGCGAACAGAUGAGGAGCUUGCUCCUCUGACGUUAGCGGCGGACGGGUGAGUAACACGUGGAUAACCUACCUAUAAGACUGGGAUAACUUCGGGAAACCGGAGCUAAUACCGGAUAAUAUAUUGAACCGCAUGGUUCAAUAGUGAAAGACGGUUUUGCUGUCACUUAUAGAUGGAUCCGCGCCGCAUUAGCUAGUUGGUAAGGUAACGGCUUACCAAGGCAACGAUGAGUAGCCGACCUGAGGGGGUGAUCGCCCACACUGGAACUGAGACACGGUCCAGACUCCUACGGGAGGCACCAGUAGGGAAUCUUCCGCAAUGGGCGAAAGCCUGACGGAGCAACGCCGCUGGGGUGAUGAAGGUCUUCGGAUCUUAAAACUCUGUUAUUAGGGAAGAACAAAUGUGUAAGUAACUAUGCACGUCUUGACGGUACCUAAUCAGAAAGCCACGGCUAACUACGUG